GACGAACGCUGGCGGCGUGCCUAAUACAUGCAGGUAGAACGCUGAAGAGAGGAGCUUACUCUUCUUGGAUGAGUUGCGAACGGGUGAGUAACGCGUAGGUAACCUGCCUUGUAGCGGGGGAUAACUAUUGGAAACGAUAGCUAAUACCGCAUAACAAUGGAUGACACAUGUCAUUUAUUUGAAAGGGGCAAUUGCUCCACUACAAGAUGGACCUGCGUUGUAUUAGCUAGUAGGUGAGGUAAUGGCUCACCUAGGCGACGAUACAUAGCCGACCUGAGAGGGUGAUCGGCCACACUGGGACUGAGACACGGCCCAGACUCCUACGGGAGGCAGCAGUAGGGAAUCUUCGGCAAUGGGGGCAACCCUGACCGAGCAACGCCGCGUGAGUGAAGAAGGUUUUCGGAUCGUAAAGCUCUGUUGUAAGUCAAGAACGGGUGUGAGAGUGGAAAGUUCACACUGUGACGGUAGCUUACCAGAAAGGGACGGCUAACUACGUG
This 497-nucleotide ribosomal RNA is filed under the name uncultured bacterium. RNAcentral describes it as "partial 16S ribosomal RNA". It matches the Rfam family "Bacterial small subunit ribosomal RNA", at positions 28 to 507 of the family's 1533-position model. The record is from RNAcentral.